GACCAACUAAGUUUGUUCUGGGUGUAAGCUUUUGUGUUCAUGCACACGAAAGCUUGUACCCAGAACAAACUUAGUUGGUC
Non-coding RNA from Podarcis lilfordi (Lilford's wall lizard), 80 nucleotides. Lineage: Eukaryota; Metazoa; Chordata; Lepidosauria; Squamata; Lacertidae. The record is from the annotation of a GenBank genome assembly.